CACGUAGGGGGCAAGCGUUGUCCGGAUUUAUUGGGCGUAAAGAGCUCGUAGGCGGCUUAGUAAGUCGGGUGUGAAACCUCCAGGCUCAACCUGGAGACGCCACCCGAUACUGCUGUGGCUAGAGUCCGGUAGGGGAGCGUGGAAUUCCUGGUGUAGCGGUGAAAUGCGCAGAUAUCAGGAGGAACACCGGUGGCGAAGGCGGGUCUCUGGGCCGAUACUGACGCUGAGGAGCGAAAGCGUGGGGAGCGAACAGG
Molecule: ribosomal RNA, 254 nt
Filed under: uncultured bacterium
Lineage: Bacteria
Description: partial 16S ribosomal RNA
Rfam family: Bacterial small subunit ribosomal RNA
Source: RNAcentral